This 253-nucleotide ribosomal RNA is filed under the name uncultured bacterium. RNAcentral's name for it is "partial 16S ribosomal RNA". It matches the Rfam family "Bacterial small subunit ribosomal RNA", at positions 524 to 776 of the family's 1533-position model. The record is from RNAcentral.
UACGGAGGAUGCGAGCGUUAUCCGGAUUCAUUGGGUUUAAAGGGUGCGUAGGCGGACUGGUAAGUCAGUGGUGAAAACCUGCAGCUUAACUGUAGAAUUGCCAUUGAUACUGUCGGUCUUGAGUUCGGUUAAGGUAGGCGGAAUGUGUAAUGUAGCGGUGAAAUGCUUAGAUAUUACACAGAACACCGAUUGCGAAGGCAGCUUGCUGGACCGAUACUGACGCUGAUGCACGAAAGCGUGGGGAGCGAACAGG